RNAcentral lists this ribosomal RNA (503 nucleotides) under uncultured bacterium. Its description in RNAcentral is "bacterial SSU rRNA". It matches the Rfam family "Bacterial small subunit ribosomal RNA", at positions 19 to 518 of the family's 1533-position model. The record is from RNAcentral.
AUGGCUCAGGAUGAACGCUAGCUACAGGCUAACACAUGCAAGUCGAGGGCAGCAUGGGAUUAGCUUGCUAAUCCUGAUGGCGACCGGCGCACGGUGAGUAACGCGUAUCCAACUUCCCCUUACUCAGGGAUAGCCCGGUGAAAACCGGAUUAACACCUGAUAGUUUCACUAGAUGGCAUCUGACGGUGAAUAAAGAUUUGCGGUAAGGGAUGGGGAUGCGUCUGAUUAGCUUGUUGGCGGGGUAACGGCCACCAAGGCGACGAUCAGUAGGGUUCUGAGAGGAAGGUCCCCCACAUUGGAACUGAGACACGGUCCAAACUCCUACGGGAGGCAGCAGUGAGGAAUAUUGGUCAAUGGGCGAGAGCCUGAACCAGCCAAGUAGCGUGCAGGAUGACGGCCCUAUGGGUUGUAAACUGCUUUUGUACGGGAAUAAAGUGACCUACGUGUAGGUUUUUGCAUGUACCGUAAGAAUAAGGACCGGCUAAUUCCGUGCCAGCAGCAGC